RNAcentral lists this long non-coding RNA (1937 nucleotides) under Ananas comosus (pineapple). RNAcentral's name for it is "long non-coding RNA (ACOM_LNC018756)". Lineage: Eukaryota; Viridiplantae; Streptophyta; Magnoliopsida; Poales; Bromeliaceae. The record is from RNAcentral.
CCUUUUUUUUCGUCUAAAUAUUUGCCUCCUAUUGCAAUUAAGUUUUUUUAGCUUUUGGAUCAAUUUAUUUGAUCAUUUCUAAUCAUUAGAUUAAAUAUUAUAACUCAGUGAGGACCACUCAGGGAGUAAAAUCAUCCUAAUCUUUCAAUUUUUCAUCUAAGGGUUAAAAACUAGACUGAAAUACUAUCAAUAGCACCAAACUAUUGGUGCUCUUAAUUUUUUAGCACUUGAAUUGAGAAAUAUGUGGUUAGAAUGAUGUAGACCCUUAGGGUUGAGUAAGUGGUUGGUUGAAUAGUAUAAUCUAAACGGAUAAAAAUAAUUAAAAGAUUAAAUCUAAUGGUGGAAAACUUGAUAGCACCAAAUCCUUGGUGCUAUCGAUAGUACCCCAGCCGGACUCAUAUAUUGUUCGGCUGUAAUACUAUUGAUAGCACGAAGCAUUUGGUGCUAUCAAGUUUUCUGCCGUUAGAUUUACUUUUUUUAUCAUUUUCAUCCGUUCGAUUAUACUAUUUAACCAACUCCCCACUCAACCCUAGGGGGCUCAUAUCAUUCUAACCACACAUCUUGUAAUCCAAUGGCGGAAAACUUAAUAGCACCAAGUAAUUGGUGCUAUUAAUAGUCUUCCAGCCUAGUUUUAUAUAUAUAUAUAUAUAUAUAGAGAGAGAGAGNAAGAUCAAGAAAUGUUAACCUUAAUCUAGAUAGUUUAAAGUAUUUUUUAUCAAAAUUUGAAGAAAUUUAAAUUCUUCUACACCGUUAAACUCCAAACUCGUCAUAAUAGCUAUUGAAAAUUGACAAAUUUGAAAUAAUUUGAUCAUAAAGUAAAUUAUGUCGAGAAAAUAUAAAAUUUUAUUUCUAAAAACUUUAAAUACCUUAUAUUAGUUUUAACGGUGUGAAUCGUUGAUUUGAACACCCUAAGAUCGAAAAUAAGAUUAUAGUCCCAGAGGCCCGGUACUAUAGAUAGUAUAGGAGACUAGCUCUUUCUCUCUCUCUCUCUCUCUCUCUCUCUCUCUCUCUCUCUCUCUCUCUAUAUAUAUAUAUAUAUAUAUGAGUGAGGCUACUCUGCUUCUGGAAGCACGGUGCCUUCCGUGCUUCUAGAUCAUUUUUAAUGUUGCGACUUUUGAAUCGUCGAUCGGCUCUAUUAAUUUGAUCUAGAGUAUUUGAAGUAUGUAGAAAAUAAAUUUUACAAUUUUUCAAUAUCAUUUGCCUAGUGAACUAAGGGGCUCAAAAACAACGGUUGAAAAUAAAAAUCUUACAAAACGUGAUAAUAUUACAUUAAAAUUUUAGAUCAAAAAUAUUGAUCUUGUUUUAUAUAGUAUAAAGAAUUUUCUAUCAAAAUUUCACGUGAUUUGGAUAUUUCUACACCGUUAAACUUGUAAACGGCUCACCACGGCCAUUAAAAUUAUUGAUUUUGAGUCCCUUCGAUCACUAGGCAAAUGAUAUCGAAAAAUUGCAAAAUUUAUUUUCUAGAUACUUCAAAUAAUUUAGAUCAAGUUUAACGGAACCAAUCGACGAUUCGAAAGUCGCAACAUUGAAAACGACAUGAAAGCAUGGAAGGCUCGUGCUUCCAGAAGCAUGGAAGGCUCACUCUAUAUAUAUGAAUAUAUAUGUAUAUAAAAGUAAAGUUAUGUAUUAUAGGAGCGCAACAAUCCUUAUUCUCUUAACUUCUCAACCAUUCAUCAAUUUUGAUUGAUGGCUAGAAUGAAAGAGAAAAAAAAAUUGAUGAGAAAUUAUGUGUCUCAACGUGCGGUUAGUAUGAUAGUAGUACUCUUGAAUUAAGUGGUUAGUUGGUUUGAAUAAUAUAAUUUAACAAAUAUAAAUAAACAAAUGGAUAGAUUUUACGGUUGAAAACUUGAUAAUACUAAGUGCUAGCGCUAUUGAUAGUAUAAAAGCUGUACUAUAUAUAUAAUAAUAAUAAUAAUAGUAACAAAGCUGAACCAGUU